Molecule: ribosomal RNA, 253 nt
Filed under: uncultured bacterium
Lineage: Bacteria
Description: partial 16S ribosomal RNA
Rfam family: Bacterial small subunit ribosomal RNA
Source: RNAcentral
GACAGAGGUGGCGAGCGUUGUUCGGGUUUAUUGGGCGUAAAGCGUACGCAGGCGGUUUGGUAAGUCAGAGGUGAAAGCCCACAGCUUAACUGUGGCACUGCCUUUGAUACUGCCUUUCUAGAGUGCAUGAGGGGGAAGCGGAAUUCCGAGUGUAGAGGUGAAAUUCGUAGAUAUUCGGAGGAACACCGGUGGCGAAGGCGGCUUCCUGGCAUGUAACUGACGCUCAUGUACGAAAGCGUGGGGAGCAAACAGG